CCUACGGGAGGCAGCAGUGGGGAAUAUUGGGCAAUGGGCGCAAGCCUGACCCAGCAACGCCGCGUGAAGGAAGAAGGCUUUCGGGUUGUAAACUUCUUUUGUCAGGGACGAAGAAAGUGACGGUACCUGACGAAUAAGCGACGGCUAACUACGUGGCAGCAGCCGCGGUAAUACGUAGGCGGCAAGCGUUAUCCGGAUUUACUGGGUGUAAAGGGGGUGUAGGCGGGGAGGCAAGUCAGAGGUGAAAACAAGGGGCUCACCCUGAGGACUGCAUUUGAAACUGUUUUUCUUGAGUGCAGGAGAGGUAAUCGGAAUUCCGGGUGUAGCGGUGAAAUGCGUAGAUAUACGGAGGAACACCAGUGGCGAAGGCGGAUUACUGGACAGUAACUGACGCUGAGGCGCGAAAGCGUGGGGAGCAAACAGGAUUAGAUACCCCAGUAGUC
RNAcentral lists this ribosomal RNA (443 nucleotides) under uncultured bacterium. Its description in RNAcentral is "partial 16S ribosomal RNA". It matches the Rfam family "Bacterial small subunit ribosomal RNA", at positions 338 to 795 of the family's 1533-position model. The record is from RNAcentral.